RNAcentral lists this ribosomal RNA (497 nucleotides) under uncultured bacterium. RNAcentral's name for it is "partial 16S ribosomal RNA". It matches the Rfam family "Bacterial small subunit ribosomal RNA", at positions 28 to 507 of the family's 1533-position model. The record is from RNAcentral.
GAUGAACGCUGGCGGCGUGCCUAAUACAUGCAAGUCGAGCGAACGGACGAGAAGCUUGCUUUUCUGAUGUUAGCGGCGGGCGGGUGGGUAACACGUGGAUAACCUACCUAUAAGACUGGGAUAACUUCGGGAAACCGGAGCUAAUACCGGAUAAUAUUUUGAACCGCAUGGUUCAUAAGUGAAAGACGGUCUUGCUGUCACUUAUAGAUGGAUCCGCGCUGCAUUAGCUAGUUGGUAAGGUAACGGCUUACCAAGGCAACGAUGCAUAGCCGACCUGAGAGGGUGAUCGGCCACACUGGAACUGAGACGCGGUCCAGACUCCUACGGGAGGCAGCAGUAGGGAAUCUUCCGCAAUGGGCGAAAGCCUGACGGAGCAACGCCGCGUGAGUGAUGAAGGUCUUCGGAUCGUAAAACUCUGUUAUUAGGGAAGAACAUAUGUGUAAGUAACUGUGCACGUCUUGACGGUACCUAAUCAGAAAGCCACGGCUAACUACGUG